CCUGCGGAAGGAUCAUUGUCGAAAGCCUCGUAGUAGAAAGACUUGUUAACCCGUACCAAUACACGAUACGAGCGUCGUGGCCAUCCUCUUGGUUUGCCCACGACGAACAAAAACUCCGGCGCAGCAGCGCCAAGGAUUCUCAUAAUGAGAAUGCAACCUCGUAGAGCUUUAUUUCGUUGCUUGUGGGGUUGGCAUCCUUUUAACUAAAUGACUCUCGGCAAUGGAUAUCUCGGCUCUUGCAUCGAUGAAGAACGUGGCGAAAUGCGAUACUUGGUGUGAAUUGCAGAAUCCCGUGAACCAUCGAAACUUUGAACGCAAGUUGCGCCUCAAGCCAUUAGGUUGAGGGCACGUUUGCUUGGGUGUCAUUCGUUAUGUCUCCCCUCUUGUGUGGUGCGGGAGUAGAUUGUGGCCUCCUGGGCCCUUCCUUGGGUGUGGUUGGCUGAAAAUGUUGUCCUUGAUUUUGUUGAUGUCUUGGUGUGCGGUGGAUGUACCAAGUGUGCAUAAUUGCCAGCCUUGCUUGACUUCGUUGUGGCCUUUUGAUCUUUAGAAGCUGUCGGUGUGGGCUCUUUGAUUGCGACCCCAAGUCAGGCGAGACUAC
This 598-nucleotide ribosomal RNA is filed under the name Cuscuta gronovii. Its description in RNAcentral is "eukaryotic LSU rRNA". The stretch from base 210 to 365 matches the Rfam family "5.8S ribosomal RNA". The record is from RNAcentral. Lineage: Eukaryota; Viridiplantae; Streptophyta; Magnoliopsida; Solanales; Convolvulaceae.